GAAACUGCCUGAUGGAGGGGGAUAACUACUGGAAACGGUAGCUAAUACCGCAUAACGUCGCAAGACCAAAGUGGGGGACCUUCGGGCCUCAUGCCAUCAGAUGUGCCCAGAUGGGAUUAGCUAGUAGGUGGGGUAACGGCUCACCUAGGCGACGAUCCCUAGCUGGUCUGAGAGGAUGACCAGCCACACUGGAACUGAGACACGGUCCAGACUCCUACGGGAGGCAGCAGUGGGGAAUAUUGCACAAUGGGCGCAAGCCUGAUGCAGCCAUGCCGCGUGUGUGAAGAAGGCCUUCGGGUUGUAAAGCACUUUCAGCGGGGAGGAAGGCGGUGAGGUUAAUAACCUCAUCGAUUGACGUUCCCCGCAGAAGAAGCACCGGCUAACUCCGUGCCAGCAGCCGCGGUAAUACGGAGGGUGCAAGCGUUAAUCGGAAUUACUGGGCGUAAAGCGCACGCAGGCGG
RNAcentral lists this ribosomal RNA (461 nucleotides) under Klebsiella pneumoniae. Its description in RNAcentral is "bacterial SSU rRNA". It matches the Rfam family "Bacterial small subunit ribosomal RNA", at positions 122 to 578 of the family's 1533-position model. Lineage: Bacteria; Pseudomonadati; Pseudomonadota; Gammaproteobacteria; Enterobacterales; Enterobacteriaceae. The record is from RNAcentral.